CAACCAAAGCUGGCGACCGGCGCACGGGUGAGUAACACGUAUCCAACCUGCCUCAUACUCGGGGAUAGCCUUUCGAAAGAAAGAUUAAUAUCCGAUAGCAUAUAUUUCCCGCAUGGGUUUUAUAUUAAAGAAAUUCGGUAUGAGAUGGGGAUGCGUUCCAUUAGUUUGUUGGGGGGUAACGGCCCACCAAGACUACGAUGGAUAGGGGUUCUGAGAGGAAGGUCCCCCACAUUGGAACUGAGACACGGUCCAA
RNAcentral lists this ribosomal RNA (253 nucleotides) under uncultured bacterium. RNAcentral describes it as "partial 16S ribosomal RNA". It matches the Rfam family "Bacterial small subunit ribosomal RNA", at positions 75 to 334 of the family's 1533-position model. The record is from RNAcentral.